UACGUAGGGUGCGAGCGUUAAUCGGAAUUACUGGGCGUAAAGCGUGCGCAGGCGGCUUUGCAAGACAGAUGUGAAAUCCCCGGGCUCAACCUGGGAACUGCAUUUGUGACUGCAUGGCUGGAGUGCGGCAGAGGGGGAUGGAAUUCCGCGUGUAGCAGUGAAAUGCGUAGAUAUGCGGAGGAACACCGAUGGCGAAGGCAAUCCCCUGGGCCUGCACUGACGCUCAUGCACGAAAGCGUGGGGAGCAAAC
RNAcentral lists this ribosomal RNA (250 nucleotides) under uncultured bacterium. Its description in RNAcentral is "partial 16S ribosomal RNA". It matches the Rfam family "Bacterial small subunit ribosomal RNA", at positions 524 to 773 of the family's 1533-position model. The record is from RNAcentral.